RNAcentral lists this long non-coding RNA (11112 nucleotides) under Eucalyptus grandis. RNAcentral describes it as "long non-coding RNA (EGRA_LNC000413)". Lineage: Eukaryota; Viridiplantae; Streptophyta; Magnoliopsida; Myrtales; Myrtaceae. The record is from RNAcentral.
AUAUGUGUGGCGAUUUGCCAAGCUGGUGAAGAUUGCCGAUGAUCGGCAACUUAGGAGGGCUCGGUGGGAGGUUGCUCUUUCUUUUCCUAGGCUUGUUCUUUAAGAGAACUGCAAUUACAGCCGCUAUUACCAAUGUUAGGAGAAACAGAUGCUGAAGGAGAGCCAUUGCCAUUUCACGAGAAACUUGCAUGUUUUGUGAUGUUGCAACAGUGGUCUUGUUUGAUCUGUAUACAAUGUCUCUUCUUAUACAAGGGACUUGUAGAAACCAUCUCAGUUUGCUGAGAAAUCUUUCGGUUUAGUCAAUAAAAGUCAAGUUAGCAGAUGUUACCCUUUCUUUUGGUACUUACCGUGAUAGGUUUGUCAUGGUUCAAGACAUCAGCCCUAGUUGCAAGUUGGCGUUUGUUCCUUCGUCUUAUCCCCUUAGCAUUGCCUCGGGAUAAUCAUCUUGGGUGGGGUUAUGAUAGUAUUCUACCCGGAUAGGGGUAAAAAUAGCAGGAAAUACGAAUGCUGUUGUGACACAAGUUGCCAAACUAUCUAGUGAUCGCUCAGUUACUGGUCUCAGAAUAGUUUGGACUGUUGUGCGGACAACUGGUUUUGUGGUCCUCCUUUUCUAGAUCGAUACGUAGUCGACAGACAGGCCAAUUGUCGGAAGCUCCAUGCCUUUGGAAAAAUCUCAUCGGUCGUGGAAUUGUCGUAGAUUAGAAAGUUCCCUUUCGAUAGAGAUCUGCCGAGAAAUUAGGUCCUUUAAAGACUUUUAUUGAUGUGUGUUAAAAAAAUUUUAUGUGCGCGUGCGGAAGUAUGGUUUUGGUAUUGAUGAUAGUUUUUGAUUAGUGAUUGUCGCGACCUAUUUUUUUUCCGGGGGUGAACCACCUAAGAGUUGGCUAAUGGACUGUUAAACCUAGACUUAACUCGGGCUCUCCCAAGCCCAUAUCAAUUCGUGACUUAAGUUCAAAUUUUUUGUAACAUGCAAAUAGAUUUUAUCUAGAAGUCGCCACUAAUCUAUUUUUGGUGGGUCGAUUAGAAACCCAAGUAAAGUAACGGGAGUUUUACUUUACUCCUACGAACCAGAGAUUAUGGAUACAGGGACUUGGUUACACUAGAUUUCUCUAAUGCCAUUUCGGUACCAUUAUUUUCUUUUCAAAAAUGUUUGGCAAGCAGUUUGAAUUGAUUUUAAAUCAUUUUCCCUAACAUGUGAGGUGAUCAUGCGGGUGCGCAAUCCACACCCAAAUAAACGAUAAAUAAAUUGCAAAAAACUUAUCUCAAAGCAACGAAAGCAUCUGCAAUGUUAAAUUAAAAUCCACAUCAACAACCUAGAUAUGGUUUCUAAUUAACACGCAAUUUCCUUUUUUGUUUUCUCUUAAUUAAUGAAAUCAUGCAAUAUGCAAUGCAAUAUUAACUAAAUAACCUAAUCCUAAUGACAUGUAAUUUCUAAUUAAAUGGGCUUAGCAAAAAUACUAAAUGACAUGCAUCUCAAUGAAUCUAACCCUAAUGAUGUGCAUAUGACAUUUUUUUUCCUAAAAGAAUGCAUUUUAUCCUAAAUAAUAAAACUAAUUUAACCUAUGACAUUUUUGUAUUUUUCAUGAAAUUCGAAAUUUGGUGAAAUGUGAAAAUUACCUAACUAGAUUAAGAUCCUAUUUAAUUUAUAUUAGGAAUUAGGUUAAGCCAAAUCCUAAUUUAAACUAAAACAUUAUCUUAUCCUAAAUAAUCCUAAAAUGCAAUAUAUCUAAAAAAUACCUAAACUUAUAAUAAAUUAAGAAAAGAUAUUAUCUAAAAUUAAACUAAGUGCAAUUUAACCCUAAUAUGCAAUGACGUACUAAAUAUGCCCUAAUUCUAAAUGACACAUGCAUGAUGGUUUUUGUUGUUUUUUUUAAUUAAUUUUCGAAAUUAAUAAUUACCAAAUAAUUAAACAUGCAAUCCAAAUUAAAAUUUUGCAACCUAAAUUGAUUAAUUUGAAUUUUGAUUUUUUUAUUUUCGAAAAUUCGUGAUAAAUAGAAUGCUUAGCCUAAAUAUGCAAAUAACCCUAAAACAUGCAAUAUUCUAACUCAAACAUAUUUCAGGAUAAAUAAAGCAAUCAAGACGAGACAAGCACCAAGCCAUUCGGAAUCAUCAAAGAUACCAUAUAUCGUUCAGAUCAAGGAAUAAUAUCUAAAUCGGACUUGAUUUUCUUGCUAAUAAAAUCGAUAAAUUGAUCUUAAGCCUUAAAGAUCAAAAUAUCAAUUUUAUUCCCGCUUAAUUAAUUAUUCCAUCUAAAGCCUUAUAGAUGGAAUAAAAAAUCAAAGUGUGGUUGCGAAUUAGGCAAAUAACCCUAUUCGGAAAUGCGCUUAUCAUUUAAAUAUGCACGUAAGAUAUUGUAAAGCAUGUUUUAGGCAAUAAAAUAUUUAAAUCAAAUUUAGAUAUGAUAAUUACCUAAUUCCUCAAAUAAUAUUGCCAAAUUUGAAUUGAAUGGAAUCGCUCAACGAGUAACCAGCGGUGUGUGGUGGUGCUCGCAUGGCUUCUCAGCACGGUUUAGGGCUUGAAGGUGACAGCUUUUGAUGGACCGCUUGGACUACCGGAUUUGUCCAGAUCUUCUGCUUCAGUUUCACUUGGGCCAAAGAAUCAAAUUUGCUCCCUUUGGUCUCCACGUCGAUUCCCAGACUUUGACUUGCUAAAGCCCAUGAUCACAUUAUUCAUUUGCGUUCUCAAUUGAAGGAGCAGCAGCAGCACGUCAGGAAUGAUAGUGGCAUUUUAGGAUGCAACGGCUAGAUGUUGCUGGAAAACCUGCAAACAGAGACUAUGAGCGCUAGUUCGCUGGUGCCAGUGUUUGGACCCGACGCGGGCUGGUCACGGUGAACACCGGGAGAUCUUGAUUGUGAUGGUUCGCUGGACGAGCACCAAAAAACCUGCAAAAACAGAGAAUACCGAAGGAAGAACAGAGCAGGAGUCGUCGCGCGGUUGGUCCAAGUCACGGCAGGCCGUGAGGGGGCCUCGUGGGAGACUAAAACAACAGCAGAUGAGCGAGCAGGGGCGCGGGACUCGGGCGUCAGCAACAGGUGGCGAGGGGUCGAGUGGAUCGCAGCGGAGCGCUGUGCAGGGGGUCAGCCACAGCAGCGGAACGGAACAGGCAGUGGCGAAGGCGGUCUGUGGCGCUUGCGGGAUCUGCACCUGUUGUCGUCUGGGGCCGCGGCGUCGAGCACGGCGAGAACAGGGAGGUCGGCGAGCGGAGCUGGACGCGGGCUGCAGGCGUUCGGGCUCGCGGGUCGCUGGCGCUACGUCCAGUUCGGAACCUGCAGGCGUCGCCUGGUUGCUGGGUCGAAGGGCGGCAGCUGCCGGUGUAGGGGCAACAGCGGCGAGGCAGGGCGCGGCGGUGGCUGGCGUUGCAGUGUCGGCACAGUGGCCUGCGCGGGCACGGGCUGGCGCGGUCAGGGGCUUCCUCGUGAAGAAGACGACACUAUAGCCCCCCCUUUUUUUUUCUCACCUAUCACAUGUCCUCUCUCUGCCCCCCUCUCUGUAGACUUUUCUGACUUUACGAUUGUCUCUUGCUUCUUAUUUAUAUGUGUCAAUCCUGUUUGCAAAAAGGCAAGAGAUAUCUUGGGCUGGCGUGAAUGAAAUCCACCGAUGAAUAUUAUGCUCAGCCCUUAUUAGUACGUGAAUCUCCCACUUCCCUUUGAGUCAUUGCUGAAUAUUUCCCUCGAAUAAUGGGAAAAUCCCAUUGAAUUUGCUUUUUCUUUCUCAACCGCCAUACACACAUGCACCAAUCUCCUUUCUUGAUUUUGCUUUACCUUGUUGGUCGAAUUUUCCUUUUAUGCUCUUGAACGAACAUUGACACAAUAUUUCUUUUGGUCUUGUUCCAAUUGUGAUUUUUCCCCAAAAUAUUUGACGAAGAUAUUCAUUUCUUGUUUGAAAUAAAGAAAUAUCACAUCGAAGAAUAGAAUACCUUCGUAUCGAUUAAGCUUAAAACCAUUCGUUCGAGUCCGUUCACCCUUGUCGAUCCAAUGCGAAUGCCAUAAAAAAUAAAAUAAAAUGAAUGCACCUAAAAUUAUAUGCUAUGCAAUUAAUAUUAGUUUUUUUCUUUUUUAGGGCUUAAAAAUUAAUCCCUGAUUUUUAAUGUGAUAAAUGAAUAAACGGAUCACCAAAAUUUAGGUGUCAACAGCUGCCUCUCUUUGAAGGUGAGCUCGCAGGGGUUGCCUUCAAAGAUAAAUUGAGACCUAAAUUUUGACUAUGCACAUGCAUUGAACGAUAAAUUCAUUUUUUAAUGCAAUUUAUAUGAUGCAUGGAAACACAAAUGAUAAAAUGAACCUACCUGGAAUAACUUACCUUCAAGGAGGAUAGAGUAAUUCGAGAUAGUUGGUGUUACAUGUCCAGGACCCGUACCAUUUUAUGGUCGCCCAAAAUAGUAACAUAGCUUUGCAAAAAGAUUGAUUUCCCAGGAUCUGUACCAUUCUACGGUCGCCUAGUAUGGCAAUGCUUGGUUGUGUCUAGGACCCGUAUCAUUCUAUGGUCGCCUUGACGGGGAUUCAUAUUCCAAGACCCGUACCAUUCUACGGUCGCCUAAACAGAGAUUCACUUUUCAGGACCCGUAUCAUUCUACGGUCGCCUGAAUAAGGAAUGGGUGUUGUCAAGGACCCGUACCAUUCUACGGUCGCCUUGACGGAAAAUUGAUUUUUCAGGACUAGUACCGUUCUACGGUCGCCUGAAUGGGGACAUUGUUUUUCCAGGACCCGUACCAUUCUAUGGUCACCUGUUGGAGAAAAAUAGUGUUGUUUAGGACCUGUACCAUUAUACGGUCGCCUAAACGGAGAUUCUGCUCGGCUAGGACCCGAACCAUUCUUCAGUUGCCCAGCGCUGUAACAUAGAUCAUUUGACCAGGACCCGAACUGUUCUUCGGUCACCUUAAUCAGAUUGAAUCUGGAGGAAAAUCUUUGGGGGACAACUCAAUCGAGUGUCGAUUAAAAGGGACUCUGGGCUACGAAAGCACGCCAGGUCGAUAUAAAGGACACCGGGCUAGAAAAGCACGCCGGGUCAAUGAAAGUGACUCUGGGCUACGAAAGCACGCCAGGUCGAUAUAACUGGACAACUUAACCAAGUCAAGUGUCGAUGCACUUGAGAGAGAAUACCUGCACAAUGACAAGUAUUUUAGAGUAUGGUAGAGAUAUACUUACCUGAUGAUGUCUCUGAUUCUUGGGGAUAUGUCUUUUGGAAUUUAGAUAUUCUGUGGAGGUCUUUCACCUCAUGGUGGAGGUUUCUCAUCUCCUAAUAUCAUGAAACAUUCUGAAAGGAACUUGAAUGUCAGGAGCUCUUGGGUCUUUAAGAAAACAUUAUAUGUCAUACAUGAUUAGAGCAAAAGUGCAUUCACCAAAGAAAUAAGCAAUUAAUGCUAUUCUGGAACGCACACUUCAAAAAUCCACUGAAGUUUUUAUCAAUUCAAUCGGGGUUCAUGCAUAAUGACCUUUGCAUCACCCAAAUUUCCACUAGAGAGAAUUAUCGUUCAAGACAAUUUUCAUUCAUGACAUGGAUUUAUUAAGAAUACAAAAUGAGAGACUUUCAGUUAGAAAGGACUUUCACUCUCUCUCAUUCAGAAUGGCUAUUUUGUAAGAAUCACUCAAUCUCAACAUCAUCAUAUCGACAAGGGUUCGAGAAUUCUCGCAAUUAUUACGACCUUACCAAUUCAAGAGGUCUUUAAUAAGGACCAUAAUGUGGGCUCGGUCAACAGCAUAACAAAGGGACUCUUUGAGUCAAGGCUAUUGAAAGAAGAACUACGCAAUCAUCUUCGGGUUUAUAAAUCAAGAACCCUGCAAAAUAAAAAAGAAAUAGUCUUGCUCGCACUUCUUCGAGCGAUGCUUAUAAACAUAUGAAUUGCCAUGUUAAUUCAAGUGCCAUAAUCUGAAGAGACUUUGUGAGGGAUGUAACGUAGGCUGGGUUUAUGGGUUGAGAAAUGAAAUAAUCAUUAGGCUCAAAAUGUGUGUAAAUGGUGAAAGUUGAUGAUCAUCUUGGUAUUGCCACUGAUUUUCUUUUUCACCAUCAGGGAUUGUCUUCAUGAAGUGCCCCAUUGAUCAUAAAAACUCAGCAUUUGAGUUCUUUGAAUAUUGCUCCAUUGGGAUUCAAUUCUUGCAAUUGACAGUCACCUAUCUUGACUUUCUUUUUUCAUCUAUGGGCAUUGGCCUUGCUUUUACCAGGCACACCGCUUUUUCAAGCUCCUAGUUCUUACUUCUUUUUCAUGGGCAUUGGCCUUGCUUUUUACCAGGCACACUGCUUUUUUCAUGCCUCUUAGUUUUAUUUUGAUUUCAAUGCAUGCGUCAAGCAAUUACACUUUGAAUGAUACUCAAACUUUCAAGGGUCUCCAUCUAUCUUUUGCCUUGCCCCAGUGUGGGGGAUAAUCACCAACUGGGUUUAAAGAAAUGAAAUUGUAGGCUCAAGUGGGCUAUGCAAAUGGUAUAAGUAUGUAGGAUAGAGAAAGAAAUGCUCUUCGUCAUCUUAAGGCACUUAAGUUAACACAUGAAUUCAAUGCAAUAGCACGACUUGAAGAUUGAUGCAAGUGAGAGCAAAAAAAUUUCAAUUCAUUUUCCUCACCUCAUGAUGCCAUUUAUCUCCCCCUUGCUCCAAUGUGGGGUGAUUCUUGACAGGGGUAAUUUGAAAAGAAUAUCCAUAAGUGUAUGGGCUCAAAAGGGUUAAGCAAUGGAUCACCUGUAGUGUUUGGGAUAAAGAAAUGAACUGCCUCUCAUCAUUUCGGUUGCCAUACCUUUUGCGAGAGAACCCAUUACCUUGUGUAUAUGAACCUUCCUACACUCAUCUUACAAGUGCAUGAGUAGGGGACUGUGUAUAGGAUAAGGUUUACCUUUCAUCAUCCCGACUCGUCUCAUUUAGUAUGCUCAAUCAAUUCCACAUCAUUCAUUAAAUUAGUCCAUCUUGAUGUUCUUUAGUGGAAUUGGUGACUAAAAGUCAUCAUGCAAAAUCCUUUAAAAAGAAAAAGAAAAAGAGCUCAACAGCUUUAGGCAUGAAAAAUUAUCAACUCCAAAACAAACAGUUUUCCACACUGCAAAAUGGUUGUACGCAUUCAUUCAAUGAUUCAUUUACAAUGAGAUUACCUCGGCAGUUGAUGUCUUUAGAUUGUCCCUAUCCGCUUUUGCCCCAAAAUCUGUCAUGCCUCCAAUCUGUCACAUUAACUCUUUAGAAUUGUGUCUUUGACAAUUGGACCAAUUGCAACUUGGUGUGCCUUUUUCAGAUGCCUUCUCACAAGGCAGAAAAAGUAAUGCUCAAUCUCUAAAAAGCAAUAAGAAUUCCCACGCAGGGGAAGGUGCAACUGAACAUGCCUCUAAUUAAAUAAGGAAAGCGAACUACUUAGGAUCAUGAAUCAUGUGUGCUUGAGUUCUUCACCCUCCUUGAUCUUGUGAUGCAAAUCCUCUAGGUCAGAGAUUAUUCCUUCUAGAUAUGUCACUAGUCUCUUCAUAGUGGCAUCAAAUUCAGCUACCUCAGGAAGAUAGGACGGUUCGAAAGUCCUCUUAGCUCUCUUCUUCGAGUCAUAGUUUCUCACUGAAGAUAGAAUACCUAUGUCAUCACAGUCCUUUUGCUUGAUGAGACAAGCCACAGUAGCAGACAAUUCAUCGACUUGACUUUGGAGGUAUGCAAUUCGUUUGUUUAUAUUGACAAUGGUACGGUCCAGCACCUCAUUUUGAUCCGCCAUUUUAGCUCUCGGCCGUGUACGGAUGGGUGAGCGAGAUCGCUCCAUAAUCACCUAAAGGAAAUAAAUGGGAACAUGUAAGCAUGAGGUGUAAAUGGAGAGUCAAUCCAUGACAAUGAUCUAAUCGAUUUUUUUUAUUUUUUUAUUUUUAUUUUUUUUCAUUUAUUCAUGAAAAGUCUAUGCAAGAAGGGAAUUUCCUAAAAAAUGGAUAUUCUAGUAAAAUCAAAUUUUCUAGACAUGAUGUAAAAACAAAUUCUCCAAAGUUUUUUUUUUUUUCAAAUGCAUCAUUCCCUAGCAAUUUCUCAUUUCAUUUCCAAUUGACAAAUGAAUCAAAUCAAUGAUUGACUUAGAUUGUCAUGGACCGACCCAAGAGUACAACAAAAUAAAUUGCAUGGUAUAGGGAUAGAAGACUUACUUCACCAAAGAAAAUCAAUGGCAAUCUCAUAGACAAGCGCAUGAAGUAUAAGGCUCGAUUUCUAUCUAGACGGCUUAGCAAAAUGGAGUUAAAAGGGUGGGGUGACUUAGUUGUAGCCUCGCAUACUAAGUCAAGUCCUCCUAACUCCGGCUCAGUCAAGAAUGAUACCCCGAUGCGACGCAGCCUCGCGGGCAGAGGUAAACAUUCUUGACACCAAGAAAAACUUUCAGGAUUGAGUUGGGCAACCUCUACUACGCGGCCUCGCGGUCGAAGUCGUAUCCAACUCGAUACCAUCCUAAAUAUCCUAGUGCAGCCCAGGUCCGGCGGCAGGUUGUGUGUGCAAAAGUGUAGUGCUAAAUGUAGGGCAUGCACAACAAUUUAAAUCAAACAACACUUCAAUAGCUUGAAUUUAAAACAUUCAUCCCUAACUCCAACCUGCAAUACAAGGGUUAGCCAAGACUACUCCCCUCAUAUCUCCCCAUAUGUAAAAACAUUUAACACCUUAAAUGUUAGGGACAUACCUGGGAUCCUUGUUGCCAAACAAAAACAUUUUUCAAAAAAUAAAAUUGGCCUAAGUCCACUAAGAGUUUCAACUCAAGUCCCCAGCGGAGUCGCCAAGCUGUUGCGACCAAUUUUUUCCGGGGGUGAACCACCUAGGAGUUGGCUAAUGGAUUGUUAAGCCUAGACUUAACUCGGGCUCUCCCAAGCCCAUACCAAUUCGCGACUUAAGUUCAAAUUUAUUUUAACAUGCAAAUAGAUUUUAUCUAGGAGUCGCCACUAAUCUAUUUUUGGUGGGUCGAUUAGAAACCCAAGUAAAGUAACGGGAGUUUUACUUUACUCCUACGAACCAGAGACUAUGGGUACCGGGACUUGGUUACACUAGAUUUCUUUAAUGCCCUUUCGGUACCAUUAUUUUAUUUUCAAAAAUGUUUGGCAAGCAGUUUGAAUUGAUUUUAAAUCAUUUUCCCUAAUAUGUGAGGUGAUCAUGCGAGUGCACAAUCCACCAAUUUAACACCCAAAUAAACGAUAAAUAAAUUGCAAAAAACUUAUCUCAAAGCAACGAAAGCAUUUGCAAUGUUAAAUUAAAAUCCACAUCAACAACCCUAGAUAUGGUUUCUAAUUAACACGCAAUUUCCUUUUUUGUUUUCUCUUAAUUAAUGAAAUCAUGCAAUAUGCAAUGCAAUAUUAACUAAAUAACCUAAUCCUAAUGACAUGUAAUUUCUAAUUAAAUGGGCUUAGCAAAAAUACUAAAUGACAUGCAUCUCAAUGAAUCUAACCUAAUGAUGUGCAUAUGACAUUUUGUUUCUUAAAAGAAUGCAUUUUAUCAUAAAUAAUAAAACUAAUUUAACCUAUGACAUUUUUGUAUUUUUCAUGAAAUUCGAAAUUUGGUGAAAUGUGAAAAUUACCUAACUAAAUUAAGAUCCUAUUUAAUUUAUAUUAGGAAUUAGGUUGAGCCAAAUCCUAAUUUAAACUAAAACAUUAUCUUAACCUAAAUAAUCCUAAAAUGCAAUAUAUCUAAAAAAUACCUAAACUUAUAAUAAAUUAAGAAAAGAUAUUAUCUAAAAUUAAACUAAGUGCAAUUUAACCCUAAUAUGCAAUGACGUACUAAAUAUGCCCUAAUUCUACAUGACACAUGCAUGCUGGUUUUUGUUGUUUUUUUUUUAAUUAAUUUUCGAAAUUAAUAAUUGCCAAAUAAUUAAACAUGCAAUCCAAAUUAAAAUUUUGCAACCUAAAUUGAUAAAUUAGAAUUUUGAUUUUUUUAUUUUCGAAAAUUCGUGAUAAAUAGAAUGCUUAGCCUAAAUAUGCAAAUAACCCUAAAACAUCCAAUAUUCUAACUCAGACAUAUUUCAGGAUAAAUAAAGCAAUCAAGACGAGACAAGCACCAAGCCAUUCGGAAUCAUCAAAGAUAUCAUAUAUCGUUCAGAUCAAGGAAUAAUAUCUAAAUCAGACUUGAUUUUCUCGCUAAUAAAAUCGAUAAAUUGAUCUUAAGCCUUAAAGAUCAAAAUAUCAAUUUUAUUCCCGCUUAAUUAAUUAUUCCAUCUAAAGCCUUAUAGAUGGAAUAAAAAAUCAAAGUGCGGUUGCGAAUUAGGCAAAUAACCCUAUUCAAGAAUGCACUUAUCAUUUAAAUAUGCACGUAAGUUAUUGUAAAGCAUGUUUUAGGCAAUAAAAUAUCUAAAUCAAAUUUAGAUAUGAUAAUUACCUAAUUCCUCAAAUAAUAUUGCCAAAUUUGAAUUGAAUGGAAUCGCUCAACGGGUAACCAGCGGUGUGUGGUGGUGCUCGCGUGGCUUCUCAGCACGGUUUAGGGCUUGAAGGUGACAGCUUUUGAUGGACCGCUUGGACUACCGGAUUUGUCCAGAUCUUCUGCUUCAGUUUCACUUGGGCCAAAGAAUCAAAUUUGCUCCCUUUGGUCUCCACGUCGAUUCCCAGACUUUGACUUGCUAAAGCCCAUGAUCACAUUAUUCAUUUGCGUUCUCAAUUGAAGGAGCAGCAGCAGCACGUCAGGAAUGAUAGUGGCAUUUUAGGAUGCAACGGCUAGAUGUUGCUGGAAAACCUGCGAACAGAGACUAUGAGCGCUAGUUUGCUGGUGCCGGUGUUUGGACCCGGGGCGGGCUGGUCACGGUGAACACCGGGAGAUCUUGAUUGUGAUGGUUCGCUAGACGAGCACCAAAAAACUUGCAAAAACAGAGAAUACCGAAGGAAGAACAGAGCAGGAGUCGUCGCGCGGUUGGUCCAAGUCACAGCAGGCCGUGAGGGGACCUCGUGGGAGACUGAAACAACAGCAGAUGAGCGAGCAGGGGCGCGGGACUCGGGCGUCAGCAGCAGGUGGCGAGGGGUCGAGUGGAUUGUAGCGGAGCGCUGUGCAGGGGGUCAGCCAUAGCAGCGGAACGGAACAGGCAGUGGCGAAGGCGGUCUGCCGCGCUUACGGGAUCUGCACCUGUUGUCGUCUGGGGCCGCGGCGUCGAGCACGGCGAGAACAGGGAGGUCGGCGAGCGGAGCUGGACGCGGGCUGCAGGCGUUCGGGCUCGCGGGUCGCUGGCGCUAC